This 78-nucleotide transfer RNA is filed under the name Desulfurococcaceae archaeon. RNAcentral describes it as "tRNA-Met". It matches the Rfam family "tRNA". From Rfam's summary of the family: Transfer RNA (tRNA) molecules are approximately 80 nucleotides in length. RNAcentral also lists the same sequence under 2 other names. Lineage: Archaea; Thermoproteati; Thermoproteota; Thermoprotei; Desulfurococcales; Desulfurococcaceae. The record is from RNAcentral.
GCCGCCGUAGCUCAGCCCUGGUAGAGCGCCGGACUCAUAAUCCGGAGGUCCCGGGUUCGAAUCCCGGCGGCGGCACCA